RNAcentral lists this ribosomal RNA (253 nucleotides) under uncultured bacterium. Its description in RNAcentral is "partial 16S ribosomal RNA". It matches the Rfam family "Bacterial small subunit ribosomal RNA", at positions 524 to 776 of the family's 1533-position model. The record is from RNAcentral.
UACGUAGGUUGCAAGCGUUAUCCGGAAUUACUGGGUGUAAAGGGUGCGUAGACGGGAAGGCAAGUUGGUUGUGAAAUCCCUCGGCUUAACUGAGGAACUGCAACCAAAACUAUCUUUCUUGAGUGCUGGAGAGGAAAGUGGAAUUCCUAGUGUAGCGGUGAAAUGCGUAGAUAUUAGGAGGAACACCAGUGGCGAAGGCGACUUUCUGGACAGUAACUGACGUUGAGGCACGAAAGUGUGGGGAGCAAACAGG